Molecule: ribosomal RNA, 786 nt
Filed under: Triticum aestivum (bread wheat)
Lineage: Eukaryota; Viridiplantae; Streptophyta; Magnoliopsida; Poales; Poaceae
Description: partial small subunit ribosomal RNA
Source: RNAcentral
AUGCGCUAUUUGGGCUGCUCAUACGGGUAUGCUAUCUUCUACAGUUUUGAGCAAUGCUUCCUUGUUGAUGUGUACACUGGUACUAUCAUGAAGCCCCCCAAAUUCCAACACAGUGACAACUCUGAAAUCUACUACGGCAUCUUUACAGCUCCGCUAAGUUCGCCCAACUCGUACCUCCUCCUUUUCUCGAGAAAUUCUAUGUUCCAGUGGCAACUUGGAGCAAACUCCUGGACAGAACACCCUCUUAUUGCUGAACGCCGCAUUCAUCAAAUUGUGCCCUUCAAAGGUAAGAUGUUUGCCAUGGACUCCCUUCAGAAGCUCAAUAUCAUUUCUUUGGCACCUCAGCUUGGCAUGUCGGAAGUGCCAGUUGUAGUGUGCGGACAGGACAUGGUCAAACCAUGGUUGGUGGUCUGUGGUGACAUGCUUCUCAUGGUUGACCUCUGCAUACGUGUUCACGAAUUCUGCUUUCAAGCCUACCGCCUCGACUUAACAGAACCCGCUAAGUGGAUGAAGUUGGAUAAGUUGGAAAAUUGGGCUCUCUUUAUUAGCCUGGAUACCAGGAGUUCUACAUUUUCUUGCAUGAACCCUGAACGAUGGGGCGGGAAGAGUAACUGCAUUUACGUUCCGAGUGGGUCCAAAAAUUCCGACGAACCUUGGAUUGAGGUAGGGCUUGGUCAGUUCGUGCCUACGAGUUCCCACCCCAUUACAUAUAUUCUCGGAUGGAAAAGCAAGCAGUUGGAGAGCUUCUGGGUGCUCCCCAGUUUGGUGUAUGCUGUCAGUGAGUGA